CUAACUAAGUAUGUAGGUUCUCUGGCUGUCAAGUAUCCUAUUAUACUUUUUUGGAAAAAAAAUUAAAUGCAAAAUUUAGUUCACUCUAAUAUUUCACCAUAAAUGACGUCUAAGCCAAAACUAGUAACUAGAAAAAUAACAGUUUUUCUCAAAGCGCCGCAUGGGGCUUGAAUUUUUACUGAUGUGUCUAGGAUCCACACAUAUAUAUGCCGGUGAAGACAGGUGACACCUGUUAUAUAACACUGAGUUGGCGCUUGAGAAAAUGUUAUUUUAAGAAAUUCGUCAAUAAUUUUCUUAAAGAAUAGAAAAUAACAUUGAGAAUAAUGUCUGGAAGUAGUCUUAAUUUUUUUGGCUGUAUAUCAGGAGUUAUGGAAACAGUACACUCUCAAAUUUUUAUUGGAUUUUUCUCCAGAGCCAACAUUUGUUUCAACGUUAUUUUAAAUAAUCAUUAAAAUUUUCGUUGUUGCAUCAUAUCAUUCAUUUCACAGUCGUUCCAGCAAUUUAGCAACAUUUCCGCUUUUGACUACGCCGGCAUCACAACAUCAACAGUGUAAUCGGUAUGUCCAACAUGAGCCUAGGAGGUGUAACGGCUUAUUGAUCGCUACUAUUUACCUGUCAGUCGGUCAAGCCAUUGUAAUGUGUGUUUGUGUGUCAAUCAGUCUAACAGUCAGCUGAUGUGGCUGUCAAGAGUGGCAGCUGUCUUAUGCAUACCUACAGCACAUGAAGAGGGGUGACUUCCUGAUGAAUCAAGCCUUAUUUCGCAUGUGUUCAAAUAAUUACAGCACUCAUGCCGCUAGUGUGCGUGUUGUAUGCCGGCACACAUCAUGUUUUCUGUUUUGACGAAUAUUUUUCAAUUUAAUAGAUAUAUUUUUAUUUAGUUUAAUUUUGGCUGAAAUAAUUUAAAUUUGGAGAAGUAAAAUAAUAGCAGUUGGGAGCCUGAGCUAAAAUAAAUGCAACUUCCGCAUUAAAACUAAAGAUAAA
This is a non-coding RNA of Bactrocera oleae (olive fruit fly), 981 nucleotides long. Lineage: Eukaryota; Metazoa; Arthropoda; Insecta; Diptera; Tephritidae. The record is from RefSeq and is a predicted model, not a curated record.